Molecule: transfer RNA, 72 nt
Filed under: Actinomycetota bacterium
Lineage: Bacteria; Bacillati; Actinomycetota
Description: tRNA-Ala
Source: RNAcentral
CGCCGAACGCCCGCGAAGGCACCGAGCCACCUUCGCAUGGCGGAGGCACGAGUUCGAGUCUCGUCGGGUCCA